CAAUAAGCAUACUUGAAAAUAAUGGCAUCUCGGACUAUUGAAAACAAACACGUCUUACUCCUAUUGAUAAACAAUUCGUCGUGAAUUCACCUUUUGAGGCAAGUUGAAGUACAAACUCAAAUUCAUUUUUGCCAAGACCCUAUUUCCGUCUUAGAAUGUUGUUAUGGUUGGCAUAAUGACAAGGGGCGCAAGUUCAGGUACUUGAAGCACUGCUGGUUUAAAACUUCAACAAAUUCUGCCUCAAAAUCCUGGUCACUGUACCAUGCGCCUCCGGUGACUGAUUCAUCAGGUUCAAGGUUGAACAGCAUGUAAACCUUCUUCUUGGAUGCCUGGAUGGGAAGUCAAACAGAUUAGAGUCAUGAAAAAAACCUGAUUCAGAAACAUAUAAAGUAUAAGGUGCACAAGUGACUGAAAGUAGUCUUUAUUCAUAUUGAAAUUAGAUGACAAAAAUGGCUGCAUUACCACUCACCGCAACAGACUUGACAGCUUUGAUGAGUUUCUUGCUCUCUAACGUCUUUAUGAUCCUAUUGAGCUGGGUCAUUUGCAGAUUACAUUUAUAUCUGAUGUCUCUGAUCCAAAUACCUGUUUACAUUGGAAAGCAGCAAAAAGGCUGAUUUAUAAAUAGAAAUUUAAAGAGGAUAACUUUUAUCUCUACAUGUAAAAAAUAUGAUAAUUCUAUGUUAUAAUUUUAUAUGCCGCAGGGGGCACCACUAUAAAACGAGUACCUUUAUUGCUAGAUUCCUCUAUGGUUUGAUAGACUAGCUUUUCCUCUAAUUCAAAACCUUUAGUUUUCCUGCAGAAAGAAUAAGAAGUAAGAAAAUGAAUACAACCAGAAACCAUGGGCUUAUAAGAGUUGAGCUUCCAUGACAUCACACUAUGUUUACUGACUGCCUAUGAUUAAAGAUAUCUUUAUAUAAAUAUGAGCACUGAGGUGCUUCCAUCCCUGAGGCAUGCUAAUCAAUUUGGCUUGCAUUUAUUUUUGAAGCUACUUGUGGAAUUGAGCUUGGCUUGUCAGUAAAACAAGAGAUGUUUGGGCUGCUGGAACCGAGCCAUGUCAACCGGGAUUAAUCUACCUUUUUUAACAUAAUAAUACAGAAUUCUUACUGA
This is a long non-coding RNA of Nematostella vectensis (starlet sea anemone), 1107 nucleotides long. RefSeq lists it as uncharacterized. Lineage: Eukaryota; Metazoa; Cnidaria; Anthozoa; Actiniaria; Edwardsiidae. The transcript has 2 exons. The record is from RefSeq and is a predicted model, not a curated record.